UACGUAGGGUGCAAGCGUUAAUCGGAAUUACUGGGCGUAAAGCGUGCGCAGGCGGUUUUGUAAGACUGUCGGGAAAUCCCCGGGCUCAACCUGGGAAUGGCGAUGGUGACUGCAAGGCUAGAGUUUGGCAGAGGGGGGUAGAAUUCCACGUGUAGCAGUGAAAUGCGUAGAUAUGUGGAGGAACACCGAUGGCGAAGGCAGCCCCCUGGGUCAACACUGACGCUCAUGCACGAAAGCGUGGGAGCAAACAGG
This 252-nucleotide ribosomal RNA is filed under the name uncultured bacterium. RNAcentral's name for it is "partial 16S ribosomal RNA". It matches the Rfam family "Bacterial small subunit ribosomal RNA", at positions 524 to 776 of the family's 1533-position model. The record is from RNAcentral.